GACGUGGGGUGCAAGCGUUGUCCGGAUUUACUGGGCGUAAAGAGCGCGUAGGCGGUCUGUUAAGUGUAGAGUGAAAUCUCCAGGGCUCAACCCGGAAACUGCUCUGCAUACUGGCAGACUGGAGGGACUGAGAGGUGAAUGGAAUUCCUGGUGUAGCGGUGAAAUGCGUAGAUAUCAGGAGGAACACCCAUGGCGAAGGCAGUUCACUGGCAGUCUCCUGACGCUGAGGCGCGAAAGCGUGGGUAGCAAACAGG
Molecule: ribosomal RNA, 254 nt
Filed under: uncultured bacterium
Lineage: Bacteria
Description: partial 16S ribosomal RNA
Rfam family: Bacterial small subunit ribosomal RNA
Source: RNAcentral